Molecule: transfer RNA, 66 nt
Filed under: Cherax dispar
Lineage: Eukaryota; Metazoa; Arthropoda; Malacostraca; Decapoda; Parastacidae
Description: tRNA-Tyr
Source: RNAcentral
AUAAGGUGGCUGAGGUAUAGGCGUUAGAUUGUAAAUCUAAAUAGGGACGAAAAGUUUUCUUAUUAG